GAACGGCGGGAGCGAGCGGAAAACGUAACGGGGAAUAAAACAGCGAGUACCGAGGAACGCCUGGGAGAGAACGGGCACGAACCGUAACGGGGAAUAAAACACGGGCACCGAGGAACGCCUGGGAGAGAACGGGCGGAAAACGUAACGGGGAAUAAAACAGAGAGUACUGAGGAACGCCUGGGAGCGAACGGGCGGAAAACGUAACGGGGAAUAAAACAGAGAGUACCGAGGAACGCCUGGGAGAGAACGGGCGGAAAACGUAACGGGGAAUAAAACAGAGAGUACCGAGGAACGCCUGGGAGCGAACGGGCAGGAACCGUAACGGGGCACAAAGCACCGGCACCGAGGAACGCGGGCUGGAGGUAUCGGGGUGGCCAAAACUGACCCCGGGCUGCACCGCUCGCCUCGCAAGGCCGAGCUUUUGCUGCGUCUGAAACAGCACACGCCACUGCUCCGACCAGUUCUCGGGGAAAAAAGAAGCAGAAAGGCUGAAUGGCGCCCUAUUCUUCUGAAGUUCUUCUUAGCCUUCUGAAGUUUGCAUUUUUGGAGUCGGAGUUCUCACAGUUUUUCAUAUAAACAAAAGUGCAUGUUAUUCUGUUUUGCAUUCCUCUCUGGAGGAAGAGAGAAGCUGAUGGACUGGUGCUUUGACCAGUGUGCUUGAGGAGGUGCUAACCCCGUCCUCCAAUGCACAGCUAGUGUCAGAAAUGUAUAAACAGCAGAGCAAAAAUUAAACUCGCUCUCUCUCUCUCUCUGUGUCCGUGUCGUUCAUUUCGUGUCCUACUGUGACAGCUGAACUGCCACAAGUGUCAUAAGAGUCCAAGACUUAGCUUCACACCUCUAAACCAGCACGAUUAUAAAAGUUCAUUUUUUUAAUAUUUAUAUAUGCUUAAUACAUCUGACACCUGGGGGCUGGCUGUUGGCUUUCAAUCCUCCUGCCGCUUUCAUACCGUGAAAGGAAAGUCAUUCAUGCAUGGCACUAAGCAGAAACAUUACCUGUUAAAGUACAAAUGUUUCCAAACCCUCC
This is a long non-coding RNA of Prinia subflava (tawny-flanked prinia), 1024 nucleotides long. RefSeq lists it as uncharacterized. The record is from RefSeq and is a predicted model, not a curated record. The transcript has 2 exons. NCBI's taxonomy places the organism in Eukaryota, Metazoa, Chordata, Aves, Passeriformes, Cisticolidae.